UUACGCCCUGUGCUAAGUAAAACACCAUGCCUCACACGCCCCUACCUUUUAAAACAUUGAUACUCAGAAUUCUAUCUCCUCUCAUACUGCUCUAAAAAUCGCAACAAUGUUCUGAAACUUGAAUUUUCAUAUGGCCGUAGCCGCUACUCUUUGGGUGCGCAUAGGUAAAACCUCCGCUCUUAUACAAUAGCUCGCAAACCACGCAGGAGAAGUAACUCGCGCUAGACAAGCCCGCGGCUCCUAUGAAUUUUCAUUGGCUUUGUAAAAUCUUGGAUGAAUUGUGUCACAAAAUCCAUGCAACAACAUAGUGAAAGCUUAAAUUCCCCAAGGACAAAGAUUACUCUAUCAAAGCCCGUCUUUUUUUAUUUCCCAAAUUCUGCAAUUUUCUAACAAAUAAGUAACUUGAAGAAUAAGGGAUGUCAAUUUAGGGAAAGAAAUGAGAUAAUAAAGAAGAGGGGGUCAUAGAAAGUGUAAAAAGUACAAGUGAUUGGUAGAGUGGCAACUUCUUCUACAAGGAGAGAGGUAUGAUAGAGACGUAACACCAAGUGAAAAAAUUGUGAAAGUAAUAAAAUGUAAUGAAAUGAAUGCAUGAUUUGUCUACAAGGCAUAUAGCAAAUGUUUACAAGGAUAGUGACCCUAACUUCACCCUUUGUCUAAGCAAACUAAGACCCCUUUUCUCUUAGUGUGUGUCUCUCUUAUUUCUCACCCCCCAUUCAUUUUUACCUACCAUGAACUUCAUCUAUUCCCUCUUUUCAUCAUGGGAUGGCUUCAAUCCCUCUUCUCUCCAUUGAAGAAGCUUUGGUUUCGUCUUCACUCUGCUCCGAAGAAGAGAAGAGGGAUAUAUAUACUCUACGAGGAUGUUAAAUCUUGCCCUUGUGAAGAUGUUCAAGUGCUUUGGUCCAUACUAGUGGAGUCUCAUCCACAUUCUUUGCCACCACGAAAAUGAGGGUCUUUACAUAAGCACACACAGAGGGGAGAUUUAAUUUACAGUCACAUGUACAUAUAUAUCACACCACUUUUGUCCCAACAUAGGGUUUCUUUGUUCAAGUUUUCAAUCUUUUGUGAGUGAGGUCCAUCUGAAAAGUCUUUAAAUUAUUGAAACUUAUGUCUUUCUCUUGAUAUUGAGUUGUACAUUCUUCAAAAUGUGGUAAAUAUUUAUAAGUAA
Molecule: long non-coding RNA, 1165 nt
Organism: Solanum tuberosum (potato)
Lineage: Eukaryota; Viridiplantae; Streptophyta; Magnoliopsida; Solanales; Solanaceae
Exons: 2
Source: RefSeq, a predicted model, not a curated record